Molecule: unclassified non-coding RNA, 520 nt
Filed under: uncultured Glomus
Lineage: Eukaryota; Fungi; Glomeromycota; Glomeromycetes; Glomerales; Glomeraceae
Description: SSU rRNA
Rfam family: Eukaryotic small subunit ribosomal RNA
Source: RNAcentral
AGCAGCCGCGGUAAUUCCAGCUCCAAUAGCGUAUAUUAAAGUUGUUGCAGUUAAAAGCUCGUAGUUGAAUUUCGAGACCGGUCUACUGGUCGUGCUUUUGUACGUACUAGUAUAAUCGGUUUCUCUCUUCUGACGAACUAUAAUGCCAUUAAUUUGGUGUUUUAGGGAAUUAGGACUGUUACUUUGAAAAAAUUAGAGUGUUUAAAGCAGGCUCACGCUUGAAUACAUUAGCAUGGAAUAACGAAAUAGGACGUUUGAUUCUAUUUUGUUGGUUUCUAGGAUCGACGUAAUGAUUAAUAGGGAUAGUUGGGGGCAUUAGUAUUCAAUUGUCAGAGGUGAAAUUCUUGGAUUUAUUGAAGACUAACUACUGCGAAAGCAUUUUGCCAAGGAUGUUUUUCAUUAAUCAAGAACGAAAGUUAGGGGAUCGAAGACGAUCAGAUACCGUCGUAGUCUUAACCAUAAACUAUGCCGACUAGGGAUCGGAUGAUGUUAAAUUAAUGACUCAUUCGGCACCUUACGG